CCGACAGAUCACCAACAAACCUUAAGAACCCGGGGCCUGAAACCGGGACGAAAAGAGCGGAAAGAAGUGGGAUUUAGGGUUGAAAAAGUCAAGACUAAAUCAAAACUCUCUGCUGGGUAAAACGGGUGAAGAGAACUCCCCAAACAAGUGGAAAAGUGGAAGAGAAGGCAGGGGCCAGAAAAGGGGGCCAGGCAGAACGGAGAGGGAAUGAUGCGCCCCAACAUCCCCUUGGCCGAGCAUAAUUACACACGACAGUACCUCGGCCUGGGGUACCGGCCGCGCGUUGGAUGUACUAACCCACGUCUUCCACCAGGAGGCCGCCGCCACCCUUCCCCGCCCCCCACCCAAAAUAAUGAAAACAGGUACCUAAGAGAUGCAAGGCGGGCUACCUUCAGCCGGCCGUGACCUUCUCGGGCAGCCCCGAAUCUCGCCCCCUACUGAGAGCCUCCUGCUCAACCGCAGUCGCGCGGACCCUCCGAGCAGGGGUGCGGGCCGGGCAAAGCCCCCGGGCCACGGUGUGUGCUCACGCAGCGCGGAGCGGCGUGACGGGGAGGGAGGAGAGGGGACGCCCAUCUCCCACCGUGCGGAGCCCACAGGAGAAGGCGGCUGAGGGCACUCGGGCCCCCACCGCCGCCUCUUUCGCCCAAACAAACACCAGCCAGCCACGCGCGGAGAAGCGAGGCGGGCAGACCCACCAGUGACCUCCUUGUUGUAUUCACCAUGAUUCAAGAGAUAGAAAGCUGUCCUACCAACUUCUGAAGCAGGGUGUCUGCGUAUUGAUAGAGUCACCAGGAGCAGAGGGCUGAUCCUUAUUCUCAAGUCAUUCAACAUUUUCUGAGCUUGUCUUCAAAUUCUGGAUAUCUCUUAUUUGAUUUCCUGAGACCUUUUGAAGUCCCACAGGCUCCAGAUGGGGAAAAUACAAAGAAACCCUAAACUUUGUAGUCCAAAGACCAGGAUUUUAAUGUCAGCAUGCCACAUCUUGGCUCUAUAAUCUCAAAGCAGGAAACCAGAAAGCAAAUCUAGGUAAGAUGUGCUACUCAGAACAUUGCUCCAGGUGAUGACUGAGACAUUCUUAAGAAACCUUGCUGAUGUGCCUGACCCUCUCUUCCCUGAGUCAUCUUAGACAAAGGUGCCAUGCAUGAAAGUGGCGAACACCAAGAGAGAAGCAGCUAAUCCCCAGUGACUGUGGAACUAUCAGCUUCACCUAACCUCUCCACCAAGAAUUUGACCACCUGUGGAUGGAGUAAGUGCAGUAAGCGAGAUCAUCAAGGGCCACCUGCCUUCUCAGCUGCAGAACCCCUCAUUCACCUGGGGCUCCCUUCCCACAGCUGCCUGCAUCUAUGUGUGGGAUCUGCCCUCUGACUGGGGCCCAGGCUCUCCCCACACUCUGCUCCCGCUCCCUGUUCCCUGGCUGACCCAUCAAGUGUGGCUGGAGACCUGGAGCAACCUAGCUCACACCUGCUCUUCAGGACACACCACCUGCCAGGCCAGUUGCCCUGGUGGGGCUGGUCACUGUCUGGCUCCACUCUGGCUUAGCACCACCUAACGACCACGGGACCCAGAAGUCACUUCCAGUUGGAGCUCCUGCUCCUGCUCAGGCCUGGCAGCCAGCAAUCCCUCUGUUUGCUACCAGAGUAAGUAAAAUGCACUUACACGGAAAGACAAAAUCAAAAAGCUUUUGUUUCCUGACAGUGGUCUCUCCCGUGACUUAACAAUCUCUUUUUCUUCCUACCUUUGUCUUCAAACCAUACAAGUAUGUCUGUCUUAUCCAUGGACCCAGGGGAUCAUAUUCAUUUUUCACUUUGUCAUCACAAAAUCCCUGAAACAGUAAACUGGAUGUCUUACUGCUUAAAGAAUCACAUGUGACAGAAAGAGCAGAAACCAUACCGGCGUGCUAGUCUCCUCCUGGGAAGAAGAUUCUCUUGUCUCCUCAGUUCCUGAUGACAGGGAUUGUCAGAGCUGCCCCUGACCUCAGGGGCUCCAGCUGCAGUGAGGGCUCAGAGCACCCCUCACCAGGCCUGCUCCUGUGAAACGAAGGCCCACUGAACCCCGGCCAGGCACAGGCAGUGCUCUCCUAGGGUUCCCGUUGAUCUGGGUCUUCACGUGGGGUUUUCUGUUUCAGCAAGAUCCUGAAACAAGACAGAGUUGAGAACCACACCUCUAAACUCAACGUAUAAAAUGGGAAAAAUCAUACUUACCUCAUAGGGCUGUUGUAGGAAUUGAGUGAUAUAACAAGUAUAGUGCGAUGCUAAGUCACUGGACAAACGGUGUUUGACAUGGUGAUCCUCAGUCUGAGAGAGCUCUAUCAGUGCUGCCUCCUCAGGCUAUAAAAAGGACACUGGCAACUUGAGGGCCUGUUGGUUCAUUCAGGGUAUGGCUCUGAGGUUGCCAGGCCGUGCUCAUCAUUAUAGCCCUCGCCAGCCAGAGCUCUUAUGGUUCUUUGUGGGCCUUUGACGUACUGUCUGCUGUAACCUUUUGUCUUUGUGAGGAUUCCAUCUGUAACAGUGUGGUGAUUGGCGGUACAGGCUUGAAACCAGGUGUCUUGGAUUUAAACCUCAGCCUAAAUAAUUAGAGCUGUGAGAUCUUGGGCAAAAGAUCUAAGCCUGAGUUUCCUCACCUGUAAAAUGGGGAUACUUAAAAUACAGGGGUUACAAGAGGUAAGGACUACAAAGCACAAUUCCCAGUGUGUGGUUAAGUGCUCCAAAAUGUUGACAUUACUUGGAUUCACUGCUUUCACUUCUGGGAAACUCAUUCCUGAUGUUUCAAAUUGCAUUGAUCUCUUCUAAAGUCCUUAUUAAGAAUUUAUAUUUAACUUGUUUGGUGCUUAACUCACUGGUCAGUUCUCAAACUCGGUAUCUUCAAACUUUUAGAUUCAACCAGUGUCGCCUCCAAGACUUUCAAUUUCUGUUUAGAGUGCUGUUUUCAUUUGAAACUCAAUGGGUCAAUUAGUUGUUUGUGGCUCUUUUGGGAAGGUAUUCUGUACCAAGCACCAAUUUAGAUUGUCAGGAAGGAGGAGCUCACGUUUUCUGCAGUAGACACAGAAAGUUCUCCAAAUGGAUCUAUUCACUGUCUCAGGAAACACAUUUCCUUAAGCAGAAUGAAAAAGGUAUUAUAGCUGAUGUUGGUUUGUUCUAGUUCCUACUUUAAUAUCA
Molecule: long non-coding RNA, 3152 nt
Organism: Manis pentadactyla (Chinese pangolin)
Lineage: Eukaryota; Metazoa; Chordata; Mammalia; Pholidota; Manidae
Exons: 6
Source: RefSeq, a predicted model, not a curated record